Molecule: ribosomal RNA, 366 nt
Filed under: uncultured soil bacterium
Lineage: Bacteria
Description: bacterial SSU rRNA
Rfam family: Bacterial small subunit ribosomal RNA
Source: RNAcentral
AGAGUGAACGCUGGCGGCAGGCCUAACACAUGCAAGUCGAACGGCAGCACAGGGGAGCUUGCUCCCUGGGUGGCGAGUGGCGGACGGGUGAGGAAUGCGUCGGAAUCUGCCUUUUCGUGGGGGAUAACGUAGGGAAACUUACGCUAAUACCGCAUGCGACCCUGUUCCGGGAGGUUCAGGGUGAAAGCGGGGGACCUUCGGGCCUCGCGCGGAAAGAUGAGCCGACGCCGGAUUAGCUAGUUGGCGGGUAACGGCCCACCAAGGCGACGAUCCGUAGCUGGUCUGAGAGGAUGAUCAGCCACACUGGAACUGAGACACGGUCCAGACUCCUACGGGAGCAGCAGUGGGGAAUAGUUGGACAAUGGG